Papaver somniferum (opium poppy) is the source of this 81-nucleotide small nucleolar RNA. RefSeq annotates it as small nucleolar RNA R160. The record is from RefSeq and is a predicted model, not a curated record. The transcript has a single exon. Lineage: Eukaryota; Viridiplantae; Streptophyta; Magnoliopsida; Ranunculales; Papaveraceae.
AGCAAAAUGAUGAGGUGAUGUAUCGGAAAUAACUGUGGGACCAUCUAUAUGUCAAAUGGUCUUCCAAGUUCUUUGGUUGCA